AACGAUGUAUAUUAUUUAAAAAAAAGAAAACUCUCCUGCCAGGUAAUUAAUUAAGAUAAUACAAGAAAUUAAAUUAGAAAAAACAAUAAAUGUGUUCACAAAUUGCUGCAACUAGAUCAAAUCGAAAACCAUCUAAUCGCCAAUACACUAUUUCUCUUGUUGUGUUUUCCUUAACUUGUCUCGGUCGGCAAGAUUGUGAGUGUCUGGUUGCAUGUUGCUUGCUUUGCAUUCUCUAUACAGUUUGUCUUCCUAGGUCAUAUUUUGAAGCACUAGUUUUCUUUAAUAU
RNAcentral lists this long non-coding RNA (286 nucleotides) under Linum usitatissimum (flax). RNAcentral describes it as "long non-coding RNA (LUSI_LNC002963)". Lineage: Eukaryota; Viridiplantae; Streptophyta; Magnoliopsida; Malpighiales; Linaceae. The record is from RNAcentral.